Molecule: small nuclear RNA, 104 nt
Organism: Sorex fumeus (smoky shrew)
Lineage: Eukaryota; Metazoa; Chordata; Mammalia; Eulipotyphla; Soricidae
Source: RefSeq, a predicted model, not a curated record
GUGCUCACUUUGACAACACAUAUACUAAAAUUGAAACAAUACAGAGAUUAGCAUGACCCCUGCACAAAGAUGACACACAAAUUCAUGAAGUGUUCAUUUUUUUA